GUUAAUAUAUAAAUUCAGGGCUCGCAAAAUCGCUAGUCCGACGUCCCGGGGCUAUUGUGUUUUCCAGUCUGGCUACCAAAAUGUUUCACCACCCUGCCCGAUGGGC
Sinocyclocheilus anshuiensis is the source of this 106-nucleotide long non-coding RNA. RefSeq lists it as uncharacterized. The record is from RefSeq and is a predicted model, not a curated record. The transcript has 3 exons. NCBI's taxonomy places the organism in Eukaryota, Metazoa, Chordata, Actinopteri, Cypriniformes, Cyprinidae.